Molecule: ribosomal RNA, 253 nt
Filed under: uncultured bacterium
Lineage: Bacteria
Description: partial 16S ribosomal RNA
Rfam family: Bacterial small subunit ribosomal RNA
Source: RNAcentral
UACGAAGGGGGCUAGCGUUGUUCGGAAUUACUGGGCGUAAAGCGCACGUAGGCGGAUAUUUAAGUCAGUGGUGAAAUCCCGGGGCUCAACCCCGGAACUGCCUUUAAUACUGGGUAUCUCGAGUCCGGAAGAGGUGAGUGGAAUUCCGAGUGUAGAGGUGAAAUUCGUAGAUAUUCGGAGGAACACCAGUGGCGAAGGCGGCUCACUGGUCCGGUACUGACGCUGAGGUGCGAAAGCGUGGGGAGCAAACAGG